UGCAGCGACGCCGCGUGAGGGAUGACGGCCUUCGGGUUGUAAACCUCUUUCAGCACAGACGAAGCGCAAGUGACGGUAUGUGCAGAAGAAGGACCGGCCAACUACGUGCCAGCAGCCGCGGUAAUACGUAGGGUCCGAGCGUUGUCCGGAAUUACUGGGCGUAAAGAGCUCGUAGGUGGUUUGUCGCGUUGUUCGUGAAAACUCACAGCUUAACUGUGGGCGUGCGGGCGAUACGGGCAGACUUGAGUACUGCAGGGGAGACUGGAAUUCCUGGUGUAGCGGUGGAAUGCGCAGAUAUCAGGAGGAACACCGGUGGCGAAGGCGGGUCUCUGGGCAGUAACUGACGCUGAGGAGCGAAAGCGUGGGGAGCGAACAGGAUUAGAUACCCUGGUAGUCCACGCCGUAAACGGUGGGUACUAGGUGUGGGUUUCCUUCCUUGGGAUCCGUGCCGUAGCUAACGCAUUAAGUACCCCGCCUGGGGAGUACGGCCGCAAGGCUAAAACUCAAAGAAAUUGACGGGGGCCCGCACAAGCGGCGGAGCAUGUGGAUUAAUUCGAUGCAACGCGAAGAACCUUACCUGGGUUUGACAUGCACAGGACGCCAGUAGAGAUAUUGGUUCCCUU
This 623-nucleotide ribosomal RNA is filed under the name Mycobacterium sp. Ri2Pt_4091. Its description in RNAcentral is "bacterial SSU rRNA". It matches the Rfam family "Bacterial small subunit ribosomal RNA", at positions 387 to 1019 of the family's 1533-position model. The record is from RNAcentral. Lineage: Bacteria; Bacillati; Actinomycetota; Actinomycetes; Mycobacteriales; Mycobacteriaceae.